GACGAACGCUGGCGGCGUGCCUAACACAUGCAAGUCGAGCGGAGACACUGAGGAGCUUGCUCCGAGGUGUUUUAGCGGCGGACGGGUGAGUAACGCGUGAGCAACCUUUCCUCUACUGGGGAAUAACACAUCGAAAGGUGUACUAAUACCGCAUGAGACCACAGCACUGCAUGGUGCAGGGGUCAAAGAUUUAUCGGUAGAGGGUGGGCUCGCGUCUGAUUAGAUAGUUGGUGGGGUAACGGCCUACCAAGUCGACGAUCAGUAGCCGACCUGAGAGGGUGAUCGGCCACAUUGGGACUGAGACACGGCCCAAACUCCUACGGGAGGCAGCAGUGGGGAAUAUUGGGCAAUGGGGGAAACCCUGACCCAGCAACGCCGCGUGAAGGAAGAAGGUCUUCGGAUCGUAAACUUCUGUUCUUGGUGAAGAGAAGAAGACGGUAGCCAAGGAGGAAGCCCCCGGCUAACUACGUG
RNAcentral lists this ribosomal RNA (471 nucleotides) under uncultured bacterium. Its description in RNAcentral is "bacterial SSU rRNA". It matches the Rfam family "Bacterial small subunit ribosomal RNA", at positions 28 to 507 of the family's 1533-position model. The record is from RNAcentral.